RNAcentral lists this ribosomal RNA (1068 nucleotides) under uncultured bacterium. RNAcentral describes it as "bacterial SSU rRNA". It matches the Rfam family "Bacterial small subunit ribosomal RNA", at positions 1 to 1052 of the family's 1533-position model. The record is from RNAcentral.
GAAAGAGUUGUGAUCCUGGCUCAGAUUGAACGCUGGCGGCAUGCCUUACACAUGCAAGUCGAACGGCAGCACGGGGGCAACCCUGGUGGCGAGGUGGGCGAACGGGUGGAGUAAUACAUCGGAACGUGUCCUGUAGUGGGGGAUAGCCCGGCGAAAGCCGGAUUAAUACCGCAUACGAUCUACGGAAGAAAGCGGGGGAUCGCAAGACCUCGCGCUAUUAGGGGCGGCCGAUGGCAGAUUAGCUAGUUGGUGGGGUAAAGGCCUACCAAGGCGACGAUCUGUAGCUGGUCUGAGAGGACGACCAGCCACACUGGGACUGAGACACGGCCCAGACUCCUACGGGAGGCAGCAGUGGGUGAAUUUUGGACAAUGGGGGGAAACCCUGAUCCAGCCAUGCCGCGUGUGUGAAGAAGGCCUUCGGGUUGUAAAGCACUUUUUGUCCGGAAAGAAAACCUUUGCACUAAUACUGUGAGGGAAAAGAAAAUACCGGAAGAAUAAGCACCGGCUAACUACGUUGCCAGCAGCCGCGGUAAUACCGUAGGGUGCGAGCGUUAAUCGGAAUUACUGGGCGUAAAGCGUCGCGCAGGCGGGUUCGUUAAGACAGAGUGUGAAAUCCCCGGGCUUAACCUGGGAACUGCAUUUGUGACUGGCGAGCUAGAGUAUGGCAGAGGGGGGUAGAAUUCCACGUGUAGCAGUGAAAUGCGUAGAGAUGUGGAGGAAUACCGAUGGCGAAGGCAGCCCCCUGGGCCAAUACUGACGCUCAUGCACGAAAGCGUGGGGAGCAAACAGGAUUAGAUACCCUGGUAGUCCACGCCCUAAACGAUGUCUUCUAUUUGUUGGGUCUUCAUUGACUUAGUAACGUAGCUAACGCGUGAAGUUGACCGCCUGGAUUUUCAGCGUCGCAAGAUUAAAACUCAAAGGAAUUGACGGGGACCCGCACAAGCGGUGGAUGAUGUGGAUUAAUUCGAUGCAACGCGAAAAACCUUACCUACCCUUGACAUGGUCGGAACCUGGCUGAAAGGCUGGGGUGCUCGAAAGAGAACCGAUACACAGGUGCUGCAUGGCUGU